AUUGAACGCUGGCGGCAUGCCUUACACAUGCAAGUCGAACGGCAGCACGGGAGCUUGCUCCUGGUGGCGAGUGGCGAACGGGUGAGUAAUACAUCGGAACGUACCCUGAAGUGGGGGAUAACGUAGCGAAAGUUACGCUAAUACCGCAUAUUCUGUGAGCAGGAAAGAGGGGGAUCGCAAGACCUCUUGCUUUAGGAGCGGCCGAUGUCGGAUUAGCUAGUUGGUGAGGUAAAGGCUCACCAAGGCGACGAUCCGUAGCGGGUCUGAGAGGAUGAUCCGCCACACUGGGACUGAGACACGGCCCAGACUCCUACGGAGGCAGCAGUGGGGAAUUUUGGACAAUGGGCGCAAGCCUGAUCCAGCCAUGCCGCGUGAGUGAAGAAGGCCUUCGGGUU
This 395-nucleotide ribosomal RNA is filed under the name uncultured bacterium. Its description in RNAcentral is "bacterial SSU rRNA". It matches the Rfam family "Bacterial small subunit ribosomal RNA", at positions 30 to 424 of the family's 1533-position model. The record is from RNAcentral.